This 274-nucleotide ribosomal RNA is filed under the name uncultured bacterium. RNAcentral's name for it is "partial 16S ribosomal RNA". It matches the Rfam family "Bacterial small subunit ribosomal RNA", at positions 523 to 796 of the family's 1533-position model. The record is from RNAcentral.
AUACGGAGGGUGCAAGCGUUACUCGGAAUCACUGGGCGUAAAGCGCGCGCAGGCGGGCUUUUAAGUUGGAUGUGAAAGCCUACGGCUCAACCGUAGAACUGCAUCCAAAACUAUUAGACUAGAGUGUGGGAGAGGAAGAUGGAAUUAGUUGUGUAGGGGUAAAAUCCGUAGAGAUAACUAGGAAUACCAAAAGCGAAGGCAAUCUUCUGGAACACUACUGACGCUGAGGCGCGAAAGCGUGGGGAGCAAACAGGAUUAGAAACCCUAGUAGUCC